GGGGUUAUAGCUCAGUUGGUUAGAGCGCUUCGUUGACAUCGAAGAGGCCAGAGGUUCGAGUCCUCUUAACCCCACCA
RNAcentral lists this transfer RNA (77 nucleotides) under Acidobacteriota bacterium. RNAcentral's name for it is "Acidobacteria bacterium (hot springs metagenome) tRNA-Val". It matches the Rfam family "tRNA". From Rfam's summary of the family: Transfer RNA (tRNA) molecules are approximately 80 nucleotides in length. The record is from RNAcentral. Lineage: Bacteria; Pseudomonadati; Acidobacteriota.